RNAcentral lists this non-coding RNA (29 nucleotides) under Homo sapiens (human). The record is from RNAcentral. Lineage: Eukaryota; Metazoa; Chordata; Mammalia; Primates; Hominidae.
UGAGGUCACCUACGGCUGUGGCCGUGCAG